This 63-nucleotide transfer RNA is filed under the name Petrobiellus sp. 2 JZ-2014. RNAcentral's name for it is "tRNA-Ala". It matches the Rfam family "tRNA". From Rfam's summary of the family: Transfer RNA (tRNA) molecules are approximately 80 nucleotides in length. Their secondary structure includes four short double-helical elements and three loops (D, anti-codon, and T loops). Lineage: Eukaryota; Metazoa; Arthropoda; Insecta; Archaeognatha; Machilidae. The record is from RNAcentral.
AGAGUUAUAGUUAAAUAUAAUAUUUGGUUUGCAUCUAAAAGGUACUGAUCUCAGUUAACUUUA